GCCGGAGUGGUGGAACUGGCAGACACGCAGGUCUUAGGUACCUGUGCCUUCGGGUGUGCGGGUUCGAGUCCCGCCUCCGGCA
Molecule: transfer RNA, 82 nt
Filed under: Nocardioides islandensis
Lineage: Bacteria; Bacillati; Actinomycetota; Actinomycetes; Propionibacteriales; Nocardioidaceae
Rfam family: tRNA
About the family: Transfer RNA (tRNA) molecules are approximately 80 nucleotides in length.
Source: Rfam by way of RNAcentral